This 74-nucleotide transfer RNA is filed under the name Bacilli bacterium. RNAcentral describes it as "tRNA-Thr". It matches the Rfam family "tRNA". Rfam says of the family: Transfer RNA (tRNA) molecules are approximately 80 nucleotides in length. Lineage: Bacteria; Bacillati; Bacillota; Bacilli. The record is from RNAcentral.
GCCACUUUAGUUCAACGGUAGAACGGUUGCCUUGUAAGCAUCAGAAGGUGUUUCGACUACGCCAAGUGGCACCA